UACGAAGGGGGCUAGCGUUGUUCGGAAUUACUGGGCGUAAAGCGCACGUAGGCGGGUUGUUAAGUCAGGGGUGAAAUCCCGGAGCUCAACUCCGGAACUGCCUUUGAUACUGGCAACCUAGAGACCGGAAGAGGUUAGUGGAAUUCCCAGUGUAGAGGUGAAAUUCGUAGAUAUUGGGAAGAACACCAGUGGCGAAGGCGGCUAACUGGUCCAGUACUGACGCUGAGGUGCGAAAGCGUGGGGAGCAAACAGG
Molecule: ribosomal RNA, 253 nt
Filed under: uncultured bacterium
Lineage: Bacteria
Description: partial 16S ribosomal RNA
Rfam family: Bacterial small subunit ribosomal RNA
Source: RNAcentral